Molecule: ribosomal RNA, 497 nt
Filed under: uncultured bacterium
Lineage: Bacteria
Description: partial 16S ribosomal RNA
Rfam family: Bacterial small subunit ribosomal RNA
Source: RNAcentral
GAUGAACGCUGGCGGCGUGCCUAAUACAUGCAAGUCGAGCGAACGGACGAGAAGCUUGCUUCUCUGAUGUUAGCGGCGGACGGGUGAGUAACACGUGGAUAACCUACCUAUAAGACUGGGAUAACUUCGGGAAACCGGAGCUAAUACCGGAUAAUAUUUUGAACCGCAUGGUUCAAAAGUGAAAGACGGUCUUGCUGUCACUUAUAGAUGGAUCCGCGCUGCAUUAGCUAGUUGGUAAGGUAACGGCUUACCAAGGCAACGAUGCAUAGCCGACCUGAGAGGGUGAUCGGCCACACUGGAACUGAGACACGGUCCAGACUCCUACGGGAGGCAGCAGUAGGGAAUCUUCCGCAAUGGGCGAAAGCAUGACGGAGCAACGCCGCGUGAGUGAUGAAGGUCUUCGGAUCGUAAAACUCUGUUAUUAGGGAAGAACAUAUGUGUAAGUAACUGUGCACAUCGUGACGGUACCUAAUCAGAAAGCCACGGCUAACUACGUG